GUGGGCAGUGUAGAAGCCGUCUGUGCCGGAGCAAACGCGAUAAGUUCACCGCCUGGGGAGUACGGUCGCAAGGCUAAAACCCAAAGGAAUUGACGGGGGCCCGCACAAGCAGCGGAGCGUGUGGUUUAAUUCGAUGCAACGCGAAGAACCUUACCUGGGCUUGACAUGUACGUAGUAGUGAAGGGAAACCGGAACGAGCCUUCGGGCAGCGUAGACAGGUGCUGCAUGGCUGUCGUCAGCUCGUGUCGUGAGAUGUUGGGUUAAGUCCCGCAACGAGCGCAACCCGUGUUGCUAGUUACAAGUGUCUAGCGAGACUGCCGGUAACAAGCCGGAGGAAGGUGCGGAUGAUGUCAAGUCAGCAUGGCCUAUAUGUCCAGGGCUACACACACGCUACAAUGGCUGGUACAAAGAGAAGCGAAAGGGAGACCUGAAGCGAAUCUCAUCAAAGCCAGUCAUAGUUCGGAUUGCAGGCUGCAACUCGCCUGCAUGAAGUCGGAGUUGCUAGUAACCGCAGGUCAGCAAUACUGCGGUGAAUACGUUCCCGGGCCUUGUACACAC
RNAcentral lists this ribosomal RNA (558 nucleotides) under uncultured bacterium. RNAcentral's name for it is "bacterial SSU rRNA". It matches the Rfam family "Bacterial small subunit ribosomal RNA", at positions 822 to 1390 of the family's 1533-position model. The record is from RNAcentral.